RNAcentral lists this ribosomal RNA (650 nucleotides) under uncultured Lachnospiraceae bacterium. Its description in RNAcentral is "bacterial SSU rRNA". It matches the Rfam family "Bacterial small subunit ribosomal RNA", at positions 61 to 725 of the family's 1533-position model. The record is from RNAcentral. Lineage: Bacteria; Bacillati; Bacillota; Clostridia; Lachnospirales; Lachnospiraceae.
ACCUUACCUGAUUCUUCGGAUGAAGGUCUGGUGACUGAGUGGCGGACGGGUGAGUAACGCGUGGGUAACCUGCCCUGUACAGGGGGAUAACAGUUGGAAACGGCUGCUAAUACCGCAUAAGCGCACGAGAGGACAUCCUCUUGUGUGAAAAACUCCGGUGGUACAGGAUGGGCCCGCGUCUGAUUAGCUGGUUGGCAGGGUAACGGCCUACCAAGGCGACGAUCAGUAGCCGGUCUGAGAGGAUGAACGGCCACAUUGGAACUGAGACACGGUCCAAACUCCUACGGGAGGCAGCAGUGGGGAAUAUUGCACAAUGGGGGAAACCCUGAUGCAGCAACGCCGCGUGAGUGAAGAAGUAUUUCGGUAUGUAAAGCUCUAUCAGCAGGGAAGAUAAUGACGGUACCUGACUAAGAAGCUCCGGCUAAAUACGUGCCAGCAGCCGCGGUAAUACGUAUGGAGCAAGCGUUAUCCGGAUUUACUGGGUGUAAAGGGUGCGUAGGUGGCAGUGCAAGUCAGAUGUGAAAGGCCGGGGCUCAACCCCGGAGCUGCAUUUGAAACUGCAUAGCUGGAGUACAGGAGAGGCAGGCGGAAUUCCUAGUGUAGCGGUGAAAUGCGUAGAUAUUAGGAGGAACACCAGUGGCGAAGGCGGC